GACGAACGCUGGCGGCGUGCUUAACACAUGCAAGUCGAACGGAAAGGCCCUGCUUUUGUGGGGUGCUCGAGUGGCGAACGGGUGAGUAACACGUGAGUAACCUGCCAUUGACUUUGGGAUAACUUCAGGAAACUGGGGCUAAUACCGGAUAGGAGCUACUGCUGCAUGGUGGGGGUUGGAAAGAUUCGGCGGUUGGGGAUGGACUCGCGGCUUAUCGGCUUGUUGCUGUGGUAGUGGAUGACCAAGGCUUUGACAGGUAGCCGGCCUGGGCGGGUGACCGGCCACAUUGGGACUGAGAUGCGACCCGGACUACAACGCGACGCAGCGGUGGGGAAUAUUGCAUAAGGGGCUGAAGCCUGACGCGACCAAGCCGCGUGCGGGAUGAGGUCAAUCCGGUUGUAAACCGAUUUCGCCUGUGACGAAGUGUGAGUGACGGUAACGGGUAAAGAAGCACCGGCUAACUCCGUG
This 468-nucleotide ribosomal RNA is filed under the name uncultured bacterium. RNAcentral's name for it is "partial 16S ribosomal RNA". It matches the Rfam family "Bacterial small subunit ribosomal RNA", at positions 28 to 507 of the family's 1533-position model. The record is from RNAcentral.